UUCUGGACAAUGAGUCCCAUCAUCUCUCCACCAUGCACCUUGUGACUCCCUCCUCUGCUGACAACAGAUAACCACCUUUAACUCCUGUUUAGGUGGUCUUCUAUACGGACAUGCUUGACACUUGGUGCCAAAAUCUGGGCCAGGGGGACUCCUUCGUGAGACCGGCCCCCUGUCCUGGCCCUCAUUCCGUGAAGAGAUCCACCUGCGACCUCGGGUCCUCAGACCAGCCCAAGGAACAUCUCACCAAUUUCAAAUCGGAUCUCCUCGGCUUAGUGGCUGAAGACUGAUGCUGCCCGAUCGCCUCAGAAGCCCCUUGGACCAUCACAGAUGCCGAGCUUCGGGUAACUCUUACGGUGGAGGAUUCCCAGCCAUAUGAAGACACCCUAGCUGGACGAUCAGUCCUUGUCAAAAGUCUGACCCCUCAAACUCUACAGCCUCAAUGGACCAGACCCUACCCGGUCAUUUAUAGCACACCAACUGCCGUCCAUCUGCAGGACCCUCUCCAUUGGGUUCACCAUUCCAGAAUAAAGCCAUGCCCAUCAGACAGCCAGCUUGAUCUCUCCUCUUCCUCCUGGAAGCCACAAGAUUAGGCCGAGAGCCGAUCAGACAAACAACCUACAACCCUUAAGCUCCUGGCAGCGCCCAGCCAAGGCCAUGCUUCCUUGCAACACUCCUUCCAAAUGGCCAUCCCAGCAUGCUUCCAAGCAGGCUUCAUCCGUUCCUCUGGACCCUCAUCUCUUAAGACCUGCCGCCUAUAAAAAGGAUUAUAUCUUGAGACCCUAUCCUCUAAAAUUUUUUCCACACCCAAAACAAAAAAUCUCUGGGUCAAAAGUCUAAAACGCUUAGGCUGGCAACCAUCAGAUCCUUGCCCAUGGUGUCCUCAAGCCUACUCUCAUGAAAUGGACAACAGUACACGCAUAUGGGGCCAGUUCCACAUAUUUGGCAACCAGACCAGCAUCCAGGACAACACAAAGUAUGUUGUUUGUUGUUAGAGGGCUUGGGACAUUUCACUCUUUGCCAGCCUCAGCUUAAUCCAGGAGACAAAGAUUAUUUUCCUUAUUAUCUCUUCUGCAUAGGAUCUGCAAUCAGAACUAUUGAACUUCUCCAUUCAGACCGCCACUCACACCUAUGGGAAAAGGGUAAUGUAUCAUCGGCUUAGCAACAGGGAAUACUAUUCGUAUGAUGGAAAAUGGGGACAAAAGGCUUUGGUACAUAAAACAUUAUUCCUUCCUUGGCCUAAAAACUCAUCGCCACCUACAUUAAAGCUAAUAUGCCUGAUUACUGUUUUUAGAGAACUUAUUUUAUUAGGGCAGUUCCAAGCUCAAAAAUACGCUAACUGGCACCUUGUUAGCUACAUAAAAAUGCACCCUAGACCCGAAACUUACUAGACUCAUUAUAAAAUUUUCUUUAAGGUGUCCACGCAGUCCCUGGUCACACUUGAAGCAGUCCGGAGAAAUAUCAGCCCUACCCCAGUAAUCCCCAGAAGGAACUUACACUUUUUUUUAAUCUUUUCCUACAACUUCAUAUUUUAUAAAUAAAAAGACAAAAAUGUCAGGCCUGUGAGCUGAAGCUUAGCCAUUGUAACCCCUGUGACCUGCACAUAUCCGUCCAGGUGGCCUGCAGGAGCCAAGAAGUCUGGAGCAGCCGAAAAACCACAAAGAAGUGAAACAGCCAGUUCCUGCCUUAACUAAUUAACCCACCUUACGACAUUCCACCAUUAUGACUUGUCCACCAUUAUGACUUGUUCCUGCCCUGCCCCAACUGAUCAAUCAACCCUGUGACAUUCUUCUCCUGGACAAUGAGUCCCAUCAUCUCUCCACCAUGCACCUUGUGACCCCCUCCUCUGCUGAGGAUAACCACCUUUAACUGUAACUUUCCACGCCUACCCAAGCCCUAUAAAGCUGCCCCUCUCCUAU
This 1916-nucleotide long non-coding RNA is filed under the name Homo sapiens (human). RNAcentral's name for it is "HSALNT0396327". The stretch from base 589 to 663 matches the Rfam family "Urothelial cancer associated 1 conserved region". The record is from RNAcentral. Lineage: Eukaryota; Metazoa; Chordata; Mammalia; Primates; Hominidae.